Molecule: long non-coding RNA, 231 nt
Organism: Notothenia coriiceps (black rockcod)
Lineage: Eukaryota; Metazoa; Chordata; Actinopteri; Perciformes; Nototheniidae
Exons: 3
Source: RefSeq, a predicted model, not a curated record
UCCAUCUCCAACGGCAACAUCCAGGUGGAUGCUUCCUUCAUGCAAACCCUCUGGAACGUCCAUCCCAUCUGCUCCGGCAGCAACAUAGAAGAAGGCUACCUACUGGGUGGUCAUGUGAUGCGGUUGUUCCAUGGACAUGACGAGGUGGUGGCCAUCCCAGGAUCAGACCAGAGUGAAGAGCAGCAGAGGAUAGUCAACUAUGAGACGGGUAAAGCCGGAGCCAAGGCCAGA